GCAGUCGCCCUGCGCGCCUCCCCGCGAGGCUUGUUUUCUAGCGCCUCUGGUGGGCCGCCUCCCGCAGGCCUGGUGUGAGCCUGGGGUCCGUUCUCACAGCUGGAUCUGGGGUCUGAAUGCCGCGCCCUCUGGAGAGCCACAGAUGGGUCUCCGCUGAUGCUUCUCUCAAUUUCCUCUAAGAGCGAGAGCUCCGGGAAAGGAGCCGAUCCUGGUGGAAGACUACAGGUCUGAGUCCACUGGACGAAAAACGAGGCUCCUUGGAUUAGAGACCAUCCUGAGGACAUCCUUGGGAGCCAUGUGCUGAAGAUGGCCAAGCCACAGGAUGAAAGGAGCUGCAUCUUUGAGUCACCACUGGAGAAAGGUCUCUCUAAAUGGAUUUGCAGAGACGUCUUCUCGAAUACUCCCCUUCUAAGUUCCACUUGUAAUCCACUUCUUCUAUUCUCCCAGCAAUCAAUGUGGUUUGGGGAAAUUCCAGAAUCUCAUAAUACCUUGGUCAUGGGUAAAUAAGGAAAGGACCUUUACAUACAUGUGAUGCAAAGCAGAUCAAAACAAGCAGAGCAGCCUAAGAGCAGCAAGACCCCAAAGGAUAAGGGAAGUCCUGCAGAAGAGCAGAGCGGUGCUGCAAAGGCAGGCAGGCCUUGACGGAAUCCUGUCUCUCCAUAAUGUUGCUUUUCGAGGAGACUGAUUGAUUGAGAUGGCGUCUCACUUUGUCGCCCAGGCUGGAAUGCAGUGGCGUGAUCUCGGCUCACCAACCUCCACCUCCAAGGCUCGAGUGAUUCUCCCACUUAAGUCUCUUGAGUAGCUGGGACUACAGGUGCAUGCCACCACGCCUGACAAAUUUUUUUAUUUUUUGUAGAGAUGAGGUUUCGCCAUGUUGACCAGGCUGGUCUCAAACUCCUGGACUCAAGUGAUCUGCCCACCUCGGCCUCCCAAAGUACUGGGAUUACAGGCAUGAGCCAAUGUGCCCGUCCUGAGGAGUUUUCUUCUGGAAUUCCUGCUGGGUUUUUGUAGUCAGUCCUCUCCCCAUUUCCCACAUUGGCUCUUGCAGACCUUCCUUUUCCCCAUUUCUAUUUGCUACCAUGUCAGACAUGACUUUUGCCAUAGGAUCUCUAUUCUACUAUAGAGGAAACCAAAGCCAUCAGUAGAAAUUUCACUAACAUGGAAUCAGAUUUAUAGAAGAAAGGGGGAGGAAAGUUUUGCCUUAACACCUGGAAGGGUUUCGUUUCUUUUAGUAGCUGGGAGACAGAAACAUAAGAAAGUAGCUUAGUAAGCUUUCUGCUGUUCAACUGAUGAUGUGUGAGCUGUCAGUAGUUCAAACUAGUCAUUAUCUUUAUGAAUUAAUUAUGUAAUAACUUAAACAAUGUCAUAAACCUUCAAAUCAG
Molecule: long non-coding RNA, 1382 nt
Organism: Homo sapiens (human)
Lineage: Eukaryota; Metazoa; Chordata; Mammalia; Primates; Hominidae
Product: long intergenic non-protein coding RNA 2980
Source: Ensembl